UUUAACUACAAACUAUGAACAAUAUAUGAACUGUUCAAAGUUCACAGAUUACAGCGUUUCCCCUCUGUAACAGCCGGAAGUGUAGUUAAUUGGAAUUUGGGGAAUAUUAUUCAUUCAAUUUUAGAUGCAUGCUCAUUGAAACUAAAGAUGUAACAUACAUUGAAAAGCAUUUACGUUAGAUUGAUGCUCCUUGUUCGUCUCAAAGUGUUGACGUGCAGCACAGAAGAGCUCCGGUACGGUAGUUACUCGAGAUACCUUUACUGGCAAGUAUGUCAACGUUAGCUUACAUUUCUGUAAUGUUGGUGUCCAGUUAGCAUGUCUAACGUUAGCAUACCGAAGAUUUUGGCGGAUGGGACUGCCGGUUAAAUGUUCUAACUCAAAGUGAUGUAACGUUAGCUGCUUAUUAGCAAUUUUGCGCAUGCUUACAUUAGCUACAAGGUUUCCCCGGUCUCAAUUUCUGGAUUACACCACAACCUCAAGGUAAUGUGGUUUAUGUUAACGUUAUGUAAAAUUGGGUUUUAGCUGCCUCAGAAAGUCCGCAUUUACUGGCGCCACCUGCACGUUUUCCUUUGUAAAUACCUGCCCUCUCGUACAGCGCGGAGGCACAUUAGCGCAACUACACUGAGCCGGGUGAGGCUACAUUAGCUUGUUACCAAGCUAAUUAUACGACUUGCACCCAGGUCUCUGUUAAGACUCACGUUACAUCAGCCGGUGUUUGCGUGUUUGACGCGGUAGUUCAUACAUUUGUCAGCAGUGCGGGGUCCUACUCUUGGACUAAAUUAGGUCGGGGGUGGAGGACUCAAGUGCAGAUGAUGCUCGGAGGGACCUGGAGCAAAUCACCAUGGCAAUAUUUGUUGUCUUUCGGAAAGAGGGGAAAGGACUGCAGGAGCCACCUGAAGACAUUAGCAUCGUCAUUGAGGGUGUGGAGGUGUUGCAUCAACUGUCAAAAGCUGUCCGUUUCAGCUUGUGCCCUGCUUCUGGGAUUGAUACUCAACCUCUCUUACCCAAAACCACUUCAUUUCACUUUUAAAGUGCUCCAGAAGAUAAUCAUGGAGCUUGAUCAGCAGAAGAUGUCCCCCAAGGUCCAUAAUCUGUAUGGCAGACUUCAAACACAAUAGUGUUUCGAUAUGGGGCAUUUCACUAUUCAGCCCCUUUGGAUGUUGGGCCUUUGUUAGCUCCAAGAUAAAAAUGUUAAGAUACAAUGUUGUUUUAUAUAUAUUAUCACUUGAUUGUAUACAAAUGCUUCUAUCAUACAUAUGAUUUUUGGGGAAAAAGUUCAAUUUCUGUCAGGUGUUCCCAAACAUUGUUACAUAUCAGAAGGCCAAAUGUGACUUGGCAUGGUUAUGCAUUUUGUGCAUAUUUAUGUUAAAAAAAACACUGGAAACAAAUACAAGCAAUACAUUUUGAAAGCCAUCAAAUUUGACUCUGUCAUUUUUCUUUUAGCCAACUUAAAAUUGGCCAAAAGUACAAUUUUACACCAAGG
Long non-coding RNA from Gasterosteus aculeatus aculeatus (three-spined stickleback), 1483 nucleotides. Lineage: Eukaryota; Metazoa; Chordata; Actinopteri; Perciformes; Gasterosteidae. The record is from Ensembl.